CGAUAAAAUAAACUAUGGCGUCCAGGCUGGGACAACUUGUGAGGGAAACAGGCGCGUGGAAGAUGUGGAAGGAAUUUAGGAAAGCAUCGGUUCCCCUUUAUAAACUAAUCUGAAACCAGUUUCUCUGAGAGGUCAGCGACAUUUUGCCGGUGAGCUGGUGUCCACUCCACCACAUUGCUGGCUAUUGUUCUAGAGGGAAAAAGUUCACUGAUUUCAUAAUCUACCGGAAUCGUCCACUCUGAAGCAGGUCGCAUGAGAACUUGCUGCUGUUUUGCUGUUCAUAGUUGAAGGUUAGAAGUGUCAAAAUACCUGUGUGGUUUGAGGAAAAUUAGCCAGGGAAUAAACAGAAUUGAUUGACACUUUAGAGUUAAUCCCCAUAUCAAUGACUCCUGGAGAGACUGGAUACAUUUACGUGUGCUGGGGAUCAGGGAGAGAAAGUGAAAUCAGAGGAGAGGCAAAUAAGAUGAAGAUGGUUUAUGGCCACUGCUGUCUGUGCCCGAGGUGAAAGCUUCUCCCUGGGAGGAGAAUUCAGCAGCAGUGGGGUUAGAGGUCCUCUUGUAUUGCUGGUGUGUUGCUGAACAGAAGGUCUCUAAUGCAAGAAACAAACAACACUGUCUUAAUGAGCCACAGUCUGUUAAUAUUUUAACACUCACUUAGGACUCAUGACAGAGGGGGGUUGAAGGAGAAGAAAGGGAGAUGGUUGGAGAGACUGAGGAUGGCAAUAAAUUGAGCACUGAGCUUAUUGAAAGUCUUCAAGGAAUGUUUGAGAUGAUCAGAUGCCCUUUGUUUGUUUCUUGGAUGUCUCUGUACAUAAGAUAGGUAUAUGUUCAAGAAUAAUAAAUAAAUACAGAAAGAAAGAAAUACGUAGGGCUGUCACAAUUUUGGAUUUUCACUAUCCAAUUAUUGUGCCCUAAAGAUUUCAAAAUAUCUAAUAAAUUGGAUAAUAUCAGUUUGUAACUAUUGUGGAUCUCACUAGCGGAUCU
Long non-coding RNA from Triplophysa dalaica, 983 nucleotides. RefSeq lists it as uncharacterized. The transcript has 4 exons. NCBI's taxonomy places the organism in Eukaryota, Metazoa, Chordata, Actinopteri, Cypriniformes, Nemacheilidae. The record is from RefSeq and is a predicted model, not a curated record.